RNAcentral lists this ribosomal RNA (497 nucleotides) under uncultured bacterium. RNAcentral's name for it is "partial 16S ribosomal RNA". It matches the Rfam family "Bacterial small subunit ribosomal RNA", at positions 28 to 507 of the family's 1533-position model. The record is from RNAcentral.
GAUGAACGCUGGCGGCGUGCCUAAUACAUGCAAGUCGAGCGAACAGAUGAGGAGCUUGCUCCUCUGAUGUUAGCGGCGGACGGGUGAGUAACACGUGGAUAACCUACCUAUAAGACUGGGAUAACUUCGGGAAACCGGAGCUAAUACCGGAUAAUAUAUUGAACCGCAUGGUUCAAUAGUGAAAGACGGUUUUGCUGUCACUUAUAGAUGGAUCCGCGCCGCAUUAGCUAGUUGGUAAGGUAACGGCUUACCAAGGCAACGAUGCGUAGCCGACCUGAGAGGGUGAACGGCCAAACUGGAACUGAGACACGGUCCAGACUCCUACGGGAGGCAGCAGUAGGGAAUCUUCCGCAAUGGGCGAAAGCUUGACGGAGCAACGCCGCGUGAGUGAUGAAGGUCUUCGGAUCGUAAAACUCUGUUAUUAGGGAAGAACAAAUGUGUAAGUAACUAUGCACGUCUUGACGGUACCUAAUCAGAAAGCCACGGCUAACUACGUG